This 497-nucleotide ribosomal RNA is filed under the name uncultured bacterium. RNAcentral describes it as "partial 16S ribosomal RNA". It matches the Rfam family "Bacterial small subunit ribosomal RNA", at positions 28 to 507 of the family's 1533-position model. The record is from RNAcentral.
GAUGAACGCUGGCGGCGUGCCUAAUACAUGCAAGUCGAGCGAACAGACGAGGAGCUUGCUCCUCUGACGUUAGCGGCGGACGGGUGAGUAACACGUGGAUAACCUACCUAUAAGACUGGGAUAACUUCGGGAAACCGGAGCUAAUACCGGAUAAUAUAUUGAACCGCAUGGUUCAUUAGUGAAAUACGGUUUUUCCGUCACUUAUAGAUGGAUCCGCGCCGCAUUAGCUAGUUGGUAAGGUAACGGCUUACCAAGGCAACGAUGCGUAUCCGACCUGAGAGGGGGAUCGGCCAAACUGGAAGUGAGACACGGACAAGAGGACUACGGGAGGAAGCAGAAGGGAAUAGGACGCAAUGGGCGAAAGCAUGACGGAGCAAAGCCGCGUGAGUGAUGAAGGUCUUCGGAUCGUAAAACUCUGUUAUUAGGGAAGAAAAAAUGUGUAAGUAAAUAUGCACGUAUUGACGGUACCUAAUAAGAAAGCAACGGCUAACUACGUG